CUGGCGGCAGGCUUAACACAUGCAAGUCGAACGAAGUUAGGAAGCUUGCUUCUGAUACUUAGUGGCGGACGGGUGAGUAAUGCUUAGGAAUCUGCCUAGUAGUGGGGGAUAACUUGGGGAAACCCAAGCUAAUACCGCAUACGACCUACGGGUGAAAGGGGGCGCAAGCUCUCGCUAUUAGAUGAGCCUAAGUCGGAUUAGCUAGUUGGUGGGGUAAAGGCCUACCAAGGCGACGAUCUGUAGCUGGUCUGAGAGGAUGAUCAGCCACACUGGGACUGAGACACGGCCCAGACUCCUACGGGAGGCAGCAGUGGGGAAUAUUGGACAAUGGGCGAAAGCCUGAUCCAGCCAUGCCGCGUGUGUGAAGAAGGCCUUUUGGUUGUAAAGCACUUUAAGUGGGGAGGAAAAGCUUAUGGUUAAUACCCAUAAGCCCUGACGUUACCCACAGAAUAAGCACCGGCUAACUCUGUGCCAGCAGCCGCGGUAAUACAGAGGGUGCAAGCGUUAAUCGGAAUUACUGGGCGUAAAGCGCGCGUAGGUGGUUAUUUAAGUCAGAUGUGAAAGCCCCGGGCUUAACCUGGGAACUGCAUCUGAUACUGGAUAACUAGAGUAGGUGAGAGGGGAGUAGAAUUCCAGGUGUAGCGGUGAAAUGCGUAGAGAUCUGGAGGAAUACCGAUGGCGAAGGCAGCUCCCUGGCAUCAUACUGACACUGAGG
RNAcentral lists this ribosomal RNA (715 nucleotides) under Moraxella catarrhalis. RNAcentral describes it as "bacterial SSU rRNA". It matches the Rfam family "Bacterial small subunit ribosomal RNA", at positions 36 to 751 of the family's 1533-position model. Lineage: Bacteria; Pseudomonadati; Pseudomonadota; Gammaproteobacteria; Moraxellales; Moraxellaceae. The record is from RNAcentral.